AUAUCUCUCUGUACGGGAAGGAUGAGAAGCUUCGACUAAGGUUCGAUUCGAGCGUCAGCGAGAAAGCGUUGCCGCAGGCAACGACCCGAAGGGCGAAGCGCGCAGCGCUGAGGCAUCCUUCCCCCACCACCA
Molecule: small RNA, 132 nt
Filed under: Salmonella enterica subsp. enterica serovar Typhimurium
Lineage: Bacteria; Pseudomonadati; Pseudomonadota; Gammaproteobacteria; Enterobacterales; Enterobacteriaceae
Description: RtT RNA
Rfam family: RtT RNA
About the family: This family represents a bacterial cis-regulatory element known as RtT RNA.
Source: RNAcentral